GCGACAUACGUGCUAGGAGCCUGUGGAAGAGGGAGGGGGCAAGCGUUAUCCGGAAUCUAUGGGCGUAAAUCGUGCGUAGGUGGCGCGUUAAGUGAGAUGUUAAAUCGUGUGGCUCAACCAUAUCGAUGCGUCUCAUACUGGCGUGCUAGAGGACAGCAGAGGCAAGUGGAAUUGGUAGUGUAGCAGUGAAAUGCGUAGAUAUUACCAGGAACACCAAUGGCGAAGGCAGCUUGCUGGGCUACUCCUGACACUGAGGUACGAAAGCGUGGGGAGCGAACAGGAUUAGAUACCCGAGUAGUC
Molecule: ribosomal RNA, 300 nt
Filed under: uncultured Lactobacillus sp.
Lineage: Bacteria; Bacillati; Bacillota; Bacilli; Lactobacillales; Lactobacillaceae
Description: bacterial SSU rRNA
Rfam family: Bacterial small subunit ribosomal RNA
Source: RNAcentral